RNAcentral lists this ribosomal RNA (390 nucleotides) under Dictyocoela roeselum. RNAcentral describes it as "SSU rRNA". It matches the Rfam family "Microsporidia small subunit ribosomal RNA", at positions 54 to 404 of the family's 1311-position model. The record is from RNAcentral. Lineage: Eukaryota; Fungi; Microsporidia.
GUGUAAGCGAAGCGAUAAGUGGAGCGGUGAAAGGCUCAGUAACGGGCGAUUUAUUUGAUCUCCUGGGACGGACAACAUCGGGAAACUGAUGGGAAAACGUCUAAGUUGCAGUUUUCUGAUUGUGACGUAAACCUUAGUGUGCAGGAGAGUAAGAUGCCAUCCUAUCAGUUAGUAAGUAGGGUAAGGGCCUACUUAGACGAAGACGGGUACGGGGAAUGAGGGUUUGAUUCCGGAGAGGGAGCCUGAGAGAUGGCUACCAGGACCAAGGUCAGCAGCAGGCGCGAAAAUUAUCGAAGCCCGCCUAGGGGCGAUAGUGAGGAGACGUGUAUACGAAGUACGUGUAAAGACCGUACUAAUAACUGGAGGUCAAGUCUGGUGCCAGCAGCCGCG